Molecule: non-coding RNA, 143 nt
Filed under: Schistosoma mansoni
Lineage: Eukaryota; Metazoa; Platyhelminthes; Trematoda; Strigeidida; Schistosomatidae
Source: RNAcentral
CUCGAUCAUUGCUGCUACCUUGACGUGGUGGUCGAGCUUGCCUAUCGUAAUGAACCACUCGAGUUAUACUGGCUGGAACAAUCGUUCUUGUAGUUCUACUAUAUCGGGCAUGUUGGUUGGAGAGCGGUAAGACUAAAAGCAGC